GGACGCAUAGCUCAGUUGGUAGAGCAGCUGACUCUUAAUCAGCGGGUCCUAGGUUCGGGCCCUAGUGCGUCCACCA
Molecule: transfer RNA, 76 nt
Filed under: Erythrobacter sp.
Lineage: Bacteria; Pseudomonadati; Pseudomonadota; Alphaproteobacteria; Sphingomonadales; Erythrobacteraceae
Description: tRNA-Lys
Rfam family: tRNA
About the family: Transfer RNA (tRNA) molecules are approximately 80 nucleotides in length.
Source: RNAcentral